GAAAUCCACUCGCCUAACGAGUGGGCGUCCGGCGUGAACUACAGGACUUGGGACCGGAAGACUUGAGGGGUACGUCUGGGGUAGGAGUGAAAUCCUGUAAUCCUGGACGGACCGCCGAUAGCGAAAGCACCUCAAGACGACGGAUCCGACAGUGAGGGACGAAAGCUAGGGUCUCGAACCGGAUUAGAUACCCGGGUAGU
This 200-nucleotide ribosomal RNA is filed under the name uncultured archaeon. Its description in RNAcentral is "partial 16S ribosomal RNA". It matches the Rfam family "Archaeal small subunit ribosomal RNA", at positions 546 to 745 of the family's 1478-position model. The record is from RNAcentral.